This 1228-nucleotide ribosomal RNA is filed under the name Zulia carbonaria. Its description in RNAcentral is "SSU rRNA". It matches the Rfam family "Eukaryotic small subunit ribosomal RNA", at positions 725 to 1789 of the family's 1831-position model. RNAcentral also lists the same sequence under 1 other name. Lineage: Eukaryota; Metazoa; Arthropoda; Insecta; Hemiptera; Cercopidae. The record is from RNAcentral.
GUGUUCCACGCUGUCGGUUCGCCGCCCGUCGGUGUCAACUGGCAUGUCCUGUGGAACGUCCUGCCGGUGGCGGUCCGGGCUUUCGGCUUGCGUAAGGGCUCACGCCCGAAGCAGGCCGAACAGUACCGGCCGCCGGUCCAAUCCCGCCACGGUGCUCUUCACCGAGUGUCGAGGUGGGCCGGCACGUUUACUUUGAACAAAUUAGAGUGCUUAAAGCAGGCUGGUGUCCGCCUGAAUACUGUGUGCAUGGAAUAAUAGAAUAGGACCUCGGUUCUAUUUUGUUGGUUUUCGGAACCCGAGGUAAUGAUUAAUAGGGACAGGCGGGGGCAUUCGUAUUGCGACGUUAGAGGUGAAAUUCUUGGAUCGUCGCAAGACGAACCUAAGCGAAAGCAUUUGCCAAGUAUGUUCUCGUUAAUCAAGAACGAAAGUUAGAGGUUCGAAGGCGAUCAGAUACCGCCCUAGUUCUAACCAUAAACGAUGCCAGCCAGCGAUCCGCCGAAGUUCCUCCGAUGACUCGGCGGGCAGCUUCCGGGAAACCAAAGCUUUUGGGUUCCGGGGGAAGUAUGGUUGCAAAGCUGAAACUUAAAGGAAUUGACGGAAGGGCACCACCAGGAGUGGAGCCUGCGGCUUAAUUUGACUCAACACGGGAAACCUCACCAGGCCCGGACACCGGAAGGAUUGACAGAUUGAGAGCUCUUUCUUGAUUCGGUGGGUGGUGGUGCAUGGCCGUUCUUAGUUGGUGGAGCGAUUUGUCUGGUUAAUUCCGAUAACGAACGAGACUCUAGCCUGCUAACUAGGCGAUUCCGGUACCCACAAUAGUGUUACCGGCGAUUCAAUUUCUUCUUAGAGGGACAGGCGGCUCCUAGCCGCACGAGACUGAGCAAUAACAGGUCUGUGAUGCCCUUAGAUGUCCUGGGCCGCACGCGCGCUACACUGAAGGAAUCAGCGUGUCUUCCCUGGCCGACAGGCCCGGGUAACCCGUUGAACCUCCUUCGUGCUAGGGAUUGGGGCUUGCAAUUGUUCCCCAUGAACGAGGAAUUCCCAGUAAGCGCGAGUCAUAAGCUCGCGUUGAUUACGUCCCUGCCCUUUGUACACACCGCCCGUCGCUACUACCGAUUGAAUGAUUUAGUGAGGUCUUCGGACUGGUGCGCGGCGAUCGGCUUUUACUGCCGGCCGCCGAUGUUGCCGGAAAGAUGACCAAACUUGAUCAUUUAGAGGAAGUAAAAGU